Molecule: ribosomal RNA, 1423 nt
Filed under: uncultured soil bacterium
Lineage: Bacteria
Description: bacterial SSU rRNA
Rfam family: Bacterial small subunit ribosomal RNA
Source: RNAcentral
GCUGGCGGCGUGCCUAACACAUGCAAGUCGAGCGAGAAAGCUCCUUCGGGAGUGAGUAAAGCGGCGAACGGGUGAGCAACGCGUGAGAAUCUACCCUUUAGUGAAGAAUACCCCCGAGAAAUCGGGGCUAAUACUGCAUAAGUCCCUUCGGGGAGAAAGAUGGCCUCUUUGCUAUCGCUAAAGGAUGAGCUUGCGUACUAUUAGCUAGUUGGCGGGGUAACGGCCCACCAAGGCGAUGAUGGUUAACCGGCCUGAGAGGGUGUACGGUCACACUGGAACUUAGACACGGUCCAGACUCCUACGGGAGGCAGCAGUGAGGAAUCUUGCGCAAUGGGCGAAAGCCUGACGCAGCGACGCCGCGUGGAGGAUGAAGGUUUUCGGAUUGUAAACUCCUGUUAAGCGGGAAGAAAGGCCCAUUUCUAAUAAAGAUGGGACAUGACGGUACCGCUAGAGAAAGCACCGGCUAACUUCGUGCCAGCAGCCGCGGUAAUACGAGGGGUGCAAGCGUUAUUCGGAUUUAUUGGGCGUAAAGGGUGUGCAGACGGUUUGUUAAGUCACCUUGUUAAAUUCUUCGGCCUAACUGAAGGUAUGCGAGUGAUACUGAUGAACUAGAGAGUGGAAGAGAGAAGUGGAAUUCUCGGAGUAGCGGUAAAAUGCGUAGAUCUCGAGAGGAACACCAAUGGCGAAGGCAGCUUCUUGGUCCAUUUCUGACGUUCAUACACGAAAGCGUGGGGAGCAAACAGGAUUAGAUACCCUGGUAGUCCACGCUGUAAACGAUGAUCACUAGACGUUAAUUCUGUUUACAGGAUUAGUGUCGUAGCUAACGCGUUAAGUGAUCCGCCUGGGGAUUACGGUCGCAAGACUAAAACUCAAAGGAAUUGACGGGGGCCCGCACAAGCGGUGGAACAUGUGGUUUAAUUCGACACUACGCGAGGAACCUUACCUAGGCUUGACAUGCUUUUGACUGUCGUAGAAAUACGAUUUUCUUGGCUUCGGUCAAGACAAUUGCACAGGUGCUGCAUGGCUGUCGUCAGCUCGUGUCGUGAGAUGUUGGGUUAAGUCCUCUAACGAGCGCAACCCUUGCUGUCAGUUGCUAUUUGCGUGAGCAAAGCACUCUGAUGGGACUGCCUGGGAAACCAGGAGGAAGGUGGGGAUGACGUCAAGUCCUCAUGGCCUUUAUGCCUAGGGCAACACACGUGUUACAAUGGUUGGUACAAAGAGUUGCGAGCUCGUAAGAGUAAGCUAAUCUCGGAAAGCCAAUCUAAGUUCAGAUUGAGGUCUGCAACUCGACCUCAUGAAGUUGAAAUCGCUAGUAAUCGCAUAUCAGAACGAUGCGGUGAAUACGUUCUCGGGCCUUGUACACACCGCCCGUCACACCAUGAGAGCUGUUUGUACCCAAAAACAUUUUAGCCAACCCGUAAGG